RNAcentral lists this ribosomal RNA (253 nucleotides) under uncultured bacterium. RNAcentral describes it as "partial 16S ribosomal RNA". It matches the Rfam family "Bacterial small subunit ribosomal RNA", at positions 524 to 776 of the family's 1533-position model. The record is from RNAcentral.
UACGUAGGCGGCUAGCGUUAUCCGGAUUUACUGGGCGUAAAGAGGGUGUAGGCGGCUCUUCAAGUCGGAUAUAAAAUCUCUCGGCUUAACUGAGAGGGACUGUCCGAUACUGUUGGGCUGGAGAGCAGCAGAGGGAGAUGGAAUUCCCGGUGUAGUGGUGAAAUGCGUAGAUAUCGGGAGGAACAUCAGUGGCGAAAGCGGUCUCCUAGGCUGUUUCUGACGCUGUGGCCCUAAAGCGUGGGGAGCAAACAGG